RNAcentral lists this ribosomal RNA (393 nucleotides) under Triticum aestivum (bread wheat). RNAcentral's name for it is "partial small subunit ribosomal RNA". Lineage: Eukaryota; Viridiplantae; Streptophyta; Magnoliopsida; Poales; Poaceae. The record is from RNAcentral.
AUGUCUCUUGCCUUGGACCCGGCCGUGUCACUACACUAUGACGUGUUCAUUUUCCCUGAAGAUAUGCUGGCUGAGGAGUGGUUGUCAGCGAGGCACAAGAAGCAUGACAAUGAUGUUCCAUCGCUCAAGCAACUGCAACCGGAAGGGGUGGAUGAGCCGAAAAAGGUAGUACUUCCUUUGGAAGUGUACUCGUCGCGCACCGGGCAGUGGGAGUUCCGAGAGUUUACGCCCGGACGUUGUUCCCCAAGCCACCUCUACGACGUGGUGGCUAGAUCAUCCUGCUGCUACGAGAGAAUAUCUUGGCCAUCUGAUAUGGCCACGAGAGAAUGUUUUGGUCAUCCAUUUACUGGCGUGAGUCGCUGUAUAUGCAUUCUCGUAAGAACACCCUCGUGA